GUCAGGGGGCGGGGGGGGGGGGGGGGGUCCGAGCCGAGUUGGGACCAGCCCGAGCUGUGCUGGGAAGAAAUAAAUCUCUCCGUGAGCCAACAUUAAUACAAGCGUGGCAGGUUCUGGGCAGGUCCCCCGUUGAUUAUGCCAAUGGACGCCGGGGAGGGGAAGAUCGAGCUGCUGGGGUGGCGUAAAUGCACAUCACGCAGGGUAAUGCCUUGGAAAUAUACAGCACCCAAGCAGGCAGGCAGCCGGAGGCGGGGUACAGGGGCCGGUGGGGGCAGCAUCUGUUUGCAAUUACGAUGGCCAGCACCCACCGAACAAGGCUCCGGGAAAGGAUGCAUAGGGAGCCUGCUUCAAGUGAGCUGCGGGGGUGCCAAUCACUCACUCAUCACGUGUUCACUGAGCACCUAUUCGAUGCCAGGCACUGGGGGUACAGGGCUGAACAUCCAGGCACCAUGCUCCCCACACGGAGCUCACAGUCUGGUGCAGCAGACAUUACUAAGCGGGACAUCAUGCCAACUGCAUACAAAGUGCAUUAAGCAGAAGGACAGAGAGUGAGAAGGUCUUAGGGAGAGAUCAUGGAGGACUGCCUGGAAGAGGUGACAUUUCAAAUGAGAGCUGACAGGUGAACUUGGUGGAGUGUGCAUGUGUGCAGCAGGGGUUGGGGGAAGAGAAGAAACACAUACCGAGGCCCUGAGUGGCGGAGUGUUUGGAACUUGUGAACAAGAGAAAGGGGGCCAGAGUGGCUGAUCAUGGAGAGUCAGGGCUCAGACACGUCUGAGAUUUAGUAGAAGCCAGAUCAGGCGUGGCCUUGUGAGUGUUGUAAAUGACUGGACUUCGUCAUACAGCAAUGGGGAGCCACCGAAGUUUCUAUAGCACGAGAGUUACUCAUCAAAUUCUCCUUUCCCAGUAUCUCAUCAAAUGCUCACUGUAACCCGGUGAGAUGAAUGGAACCAUUCCUCAUUAUUUGGGUGAGAGAACUGCAGCUCAGAGAGGUGAAGUGAUUUGCCUGAAGUCACACAGCAAGAGGGUGUCACAGUGGGCCUGUUGUAUUCCCAAGACUGUAAGCGAUUGAGCACAGACUACCUAGCCCAACAUUCUGGACCUGUUGCUGAAAAAGAAGGUUUGGAUUCCAAAAUAUGAAAGAAGAACUCUAUCCCUGGAUGUAGCUUUGGUGGGAAUUUGACAAAGGUCAAUAGGCUCCAAUCAGAGUGGAGGAGCCAAGGACAGUCCUGUCCUGGAGGAAGAGCCCAGGGUCACCAUGAUCUACAUAGGAGUCUGGCUUGGGGUUGGCCAAAGGGGAAGAUCUGAGGAUGCCAAAGGUCUACAGGGGGCUGGACACCUCGAGCAGAGAGAGCAGAGCAAGCGCCAGGACGGGCGGCUCACCCCACGGCUUGGGCAGCUGAGAGGCUGCCUUGAGCAUCCGUCCACUGGGAACUCAAAAGGAAAAUAACAAAAACCAAAAUAGAGUGUAAGAUCCUCUCCCCUGGCAGCAUCUUGCCAGCUCAAGAUCGGAAAGAGUAAUCCAGUUUAUCUGCAUAUCUUUGCACGUGCAGAUUCGGCCAAAAUAUUGGUAAUAAUGGAGACCAGCAACAACAAUGCAUCCACCUGGCAAAUAAGGGAGCAUCUUGUGUGAGCUUAACCCUGAGCUAGGCGCUGGGGCUGGAACAGCAAAGAAGGUGGAGACGGAGCCUGCCCCGCUGCGGCUUUGUCCAGGUUUAGUUUCUGAGCUGGAGGCCCGGAUAAGCCCGCCAUCUUGGAUUUAUGAAAAUUGAAAUGCAGGAAGGAGGGAAUUGAAAUGUGGCGUGGAGGAGCUGUGGCCUGGGAGAGAGGAUGCCCGGGUGUGUGUGAGUCAGUCAUGUCCCAGCUCAGACUGCAGUUUCCUCCUCUGUAAAGUGGUGGGAGGAGAGCUCUCACCAUCUCCGUUCCCUCUCUCCAUCCUCCUAGAUGACAGCACUUCCCCAAACUACGCUCUUCCAGACGUGCAAGGGAUGUGCACUACUGGUGCCCACGAGCCUAGAGGGGCAGCUUCGGGAAGACGAGCUUCUAGGAAUUCGGAAAGGAAACAGAUAUUUAUCACGCAUCAUCAUGUAUUCCGCUCUCUGGGGAUACGUCAGUGUUCCCGUGAGGGGUUCUCUGAAGAAUUUCUCUGUGCCCUUCUUCUCCAUUCUCUCUUCCUUUCAGUCCGAUGACCCAUUGCUUCAGUCCCCUGUGUUCUGGGAGCUGUUUCCUUGGACACUUAUUGUCUGGAUCUAAAUGGCUCUUUUACGGCAUCAUCCAUGGCCCUAUGCUGAACUCAGGCAAGAGAAGAGCUUCAACAGUACCCUAUUCUCUAGUCUUGGUUCUGAACCACUCACUCCAUCGUGUUCCUUACAUGGCACUAGACUGUCAUCUCCUUCCUUCGGGAUUCCUGCUCCAUCAUUGCUGCCUUUGAUGCUUCCUGCAACCUGACUCUGCACAGAUUCUCACUAAAGAGGAGGUGCUGCCCUCUAUGAGGAUCUAUGUGUCCCUAGUGUUGUCAGCUGGUCUGAAGUCCAGGAGCCACAGCCCUAAUCUUUUCCCUCCCCUGGCGGCUCAGCUUCUACAGAACAAGGGCCUGAGUCUUUCAGCCACACAACAGCUAGUCUCGGCGCAUCUUUCCCACUUCAACGCCAUUGUCUAGGCUGUUCUCGCUCAUCCCACGCGGGAGGGCAUGAGUCCUAAUCAAAGGUCAACAGCUAGUAAGAACUCCUUCUGAGUUUUGACGACAGGAGAUGCAAUCAGAAGUCUAGAGAGCUGUGGAUUCCAGAAGGGAGAAGGCGAGAGAAGAUUGUCAUUCUCCACUUUUAUUUUCCUAUAAUCCACAUGGAGAAUAUAAGGCUUGCUGGGUGAUGUUCGGGAAGCCGGCUCUCCUUCCUGAGCCUCAGCAUUCCCCAUCUGUUCAAAUGGGUGGGCUGGAUGGGCUCAGAGCCAAUGAUUCUCGGAGACGAAGCAUUACGUGCCGCCUGCUGUGUCUUGCUCGGGUCUCACGGGGCAGACGGGUUUUGAAAGCAUUCACCAGUUAAUGCAUCACUUCUUCAUUAAAGGUUCUUUCUGGACAUCCUCUUAGCUCCUACUUUUCCAGGCUUUCCACCCCCAACCCCCACUAGUGCUGACAAAUUGCUGCUUGAAGUUCAUGGUCCCGGGGGCCUCCUUAAAAUGUCCCGGAAUGCAGGCAUAGAGGGUGUGGAGGGAGCUUGGUGGGGGGGUGUUGGCCGGAAGCCACAUGCUGCAGCAGUAGGAGGCACGGGCAGGGAGUAGGGUGCAGACACCCUGAGGUUGCUCAGGCAGCGAGGCGGUCAGCGGCGUCCUGACUUUGAAAGCAAUCCAAAACACGGGCUGCGUUCCAGUCUCCAGUGAUGUCACAGCUAAUCAUUAGCCUGGUAAUUACAUUGAAAGGCUUCUGCGAUCUUAUCCUCAGCAGGGUCAUUAAUGCAAGGCAACCACACCAGUAAAUGUCUCAUUAGUCUUAUUUUAGACUUAUGUAUUUUUCAGGACUACAGAAUUUUAAUAGUCUGCCCUCCCCCCGGCUCCCCCUUCUGCGACAUUAAUAUCUAUUCCACAUGCCAGAUCCUUUCAACUCUUCCCCCUUCUUGUUUUCCCUGCUCACAGCCCCCCUGAGGAGGGCCCGGCCAGGGAGGGAGGUUGGAGUGGGGGGUCGUUAGGGGCUGGUCUCGGCCUCCCUCACCCGCCCCAGCUCUGUUUCUGGCCCCAGUCUCUUUUCUGUGAUGACAACCUUUUCCUGGAUUUUCUCUAUCUUCCUCAGGAAGCUUCAUUCUUUUAUUUUAACCCUCUUUAAACCUUUUUCCACAUUAUUAUAGAAAUGUGUGCUUAUUACAAAGAUGGGGAGAAAAUAUUACCAUUGAUCUCAGAACUCAGACAAAACGACCACCUUCCCACCUCUUGCUCAGUGCUCGCCACCCCA
This is a long non-coding RNA of Equus caballus (horse), 3937 nucleotides long. The record is from Ensembl. NCBI's taxonomy places the organism in Eukaryota, Metazoa, Chordata, Mammalia, Perissodactyla, Equidae.